RNAcentral lists this ribosomal RNA (440 nucleotides) under uncultured bacterium. Its description in RNAcentral is "partial 16S ribosomal RNA". It matches the Rfam family "Bacterial small subunit ribosomal RNA", at positions 338 to 795 of the family's 1533-position model. The record is from RNAcentral.
GCUACGGGUGGCAGCAGUGGGGAAUAUUGCACAAUGGGGGAAACCCUGAUGCAGCGACGCCGCGUGAGUGAAGAAGUAUUUCGGUACGUAAAGCUCUAUCAGCAGGGAAGAAAAUGACGGUACCUGACUAAGAAGCCCCGGCUAAAUACGUGCCAGCAGCCGCGGUAAUACGUAGGGGGCAAGCGGUAUCCGGAUUUACUGGGUGUAAAGGGAGCGUGGGCGGCAGCGCAAGUCUGGAGUGAAAUCCCAGGGCUUAACCAUGGAACUGCUUUGGAAACUGGGGAGCUGGAGUGCAGGAGAGGUAAGCGGAAUUCGUGGUGUAGCGGUGAAAUGCGUAGAUAUUAGGAAGAACACCAGUGGCGAAGGCGGCUUACUGGACUGUAACUGACGUUGAGGCUCGAAAGCGUGGGGAGCAAACAGGAUUAGAUACCCGUGUAGUC